UUGCAAUUUGGACCUCUGGAGGUGGACAUAAGAUACAGAAAUCAACACUCAGGCUUACUGAAAAGACAUGACAGACAUUUGGCAUUCAUAGCAAAAGCAUCCAGUGGGACUGAUGGAAGUCAGUGACAGCUGCCACCCUAAACAUGAGCUCACAUAUUGAUGCAUGAGCAAUUUUCGGGUUUGCGUAUGAAGGAGAGUCACUUGUAAUCAACCCUGCAGAUAUUAACUCAGUUGGCACUUCGCAGAUCGGCAGAUGAGUUGACUGACCAUGUAUCCGCAAACUGGAGUGGCAGUAAAACUGCAGGAGAGAUGGAAGAAGAACAUGCUUGUCCAGAGAGUAGAGAGAAAAGAUAUGAAGUACUUCAGGGAUUAUUAAACCAUGGCGGCAGAUGUUCUCGACAAAAUAGCAAGAAUGUGUCAACAAAUUGAAAGGAAAUUGUGGUGAGCGUGAACUUCGUGCGAUAGAUGAUUGCUUAAGAAAUGCACAGAGAAUUUCAUAUUUGCUACCUCCUGAGAUGUAUGAAGAAUUGAACAGAAAUCUGGAUGAAAUUCGAACAAUGCUGUCAACGCAUUUGCAGAGUGAGGGAACUACAGCUUUUUCCGUAUCUCAAAGUAGCUCAGGUGAGUUUCUGUUUUUUAAAACUAUGUUCUUUAUAUGCAGUAACCACAUACACAAGCGAGGCAUCUUGGAAAGCUCGUUUUUGUCUUGUUUAUGUGUUUGUUUAUUGUCUGCUCUCUACUUUGGUCAUGACGGUAGCCAUGGUAAUAAAACUGUAACUUUCCCCUCGGUCUGCAUUAAAAGUAGUCUAACCAGUGUACAUGCUAUGUAACUAUUCACUUACAAAAUUAAUACAGUUAUAAUACAAAUUCAAAUCUAUAUACCUAUUGUACAUAAUACAUAUAGUUAAAAGUAGGACUGUACAACAAACUGUAUGCCUACAUAAUUUUAUUAACAUUUUAGAAGAAAAUAAGGAUUAAAGAAACAAUUAUUUGAAUGGCUACUGAAAAACGCUACUGAUAAGGUUCCACACACAGGCCAGUCAGUCCAUAAAAAUGUAUUUGUAUGUGACAUUCAGAUUAUCACACAUCAGUGUACCUUAUUUACGUUUAAAAAUAACAGAAACAGACACUCCAACAGGUCAAAGUUUAAUUUUCAUUUUUCAACUUUGCCUGGUCAAGUUCCAUGACUCAUAAUAAAGAAAUUGUAUUUCUUCAACAUUUGUACUAAAGAAAACAAUAUUGAAAAAGUAAUUUAAAUCUGCCAUCACCCUAUUUUUAGACUAUUACCUUGUUCCAUUCCUUCCUUUCUUUCCAUUCUUAUUUGUCACCAUUUUUCUAAUAUUAUAUUGCUUGCCAUUAGGAGCUGCAUGUCAGUAAAACAAAUAUAUGUUACUUUCAAUUGCAGGUAGCCGAGGUAGACCAGCCAUUCAAAUAACACAUGACCAAAUUGAAUUUUUAAUGAAGCAAGGUCACACAGUCAAGCGAAUGGCAAGAAUGUUAGGGUGCUCAUCCUCAUUUCUGUACAAGAGGUCCAAGCUGCUUGGUGUAUCAAUCAGGAGCAGAAUGUCAGGAGUGGAUGAUGAAGAACUUGAAAAUGUAGUGAGACGACUCCAAUGCCAGUAUCCAAAUACUGGAAGUGAGAUGAUGCCAGCCUUACUGGUUGCAGAAGGAUUGAGGGUUUCCCGGCAUAGGGUUCGUGAGAUGUUGGUACGUAUCAAUCCAGCGGCUGCUGCAAGGAGAUGAAGCAGCACAGUGGCUAGAAGAGUUUAUCAUGUGCCCUGUCCCAACAGUCUCUGGCACAUUGAUGGUAACAUGUGCCUCAUAAGAUGGGGCUUUGUGAUUCAUGGUGCAAUCGAUGGACAUUCACGACUAAUCACAUACCGACAACUGUGCCAGUACUGUGCUGUCUCAGUUUAUUCAAGCAACAUGCCUUUACGGUCUGCCCUCUAGGGUAAGGUCAGAUCACGGUGGUGAGAACUUACAAGUGGCCUUGUUUAUGAACCUUGUACAAGGACUUCAGCGCCGGAGUCACAUUACUGGGGAAUCAGUCCACAACCAAAGGAUAGAACGUUUGUGGAGGGAUGUAUUUUUACAUGUGCUACAAUCAUUCUACAGUCUUGAAGAUUCUGAACUGCUUGAUCCCAGCAAUGACCUUCACAAAGUUUCACUCAGCCAUAGUUUUUCUUCCACAGAUCCAAGCUAGACUACAGCACUUCAAAGAGGCAUGGAAUCACCAUGCUUUGCAGACAGAAAACAAUGAAACACCAACACAGAUAUGGACAGAAGGAAUGCUGUCAAGGAUAGGAACUGACAGCACAGCCAUCAACAAUGUGUUUGAGUCUUUGCCCACAGCUGAAAAUGAAGAAAUCCCAGCUGUAACUGUUGAACAGCCUCAAAUUAACCUUACUUCUCAGCAAAUGGAAACAGUUUCCCAUGCUAGUGACCAUAUUACAGAUUUGAAGAUUAAGUUUCAGUCGUAGUAUAAUGAGGCAAGUAUUGGCCUCUGGAAAGAUUUUCCCGUCUUGAUGGAAGAACUCUAUUUCUGGGCGGUGGGGGAAACCCAGAGGUGGCACUGUGGAGGCUCCAGUGGCAAACUCCAUUAUCCUCUCAAGAGUGACUCAAAACCUCAAAAGGUGGAAGGUGGAAUCCAAAAAGCAUCAUCUGACCCGUAGUGGAGUACUGACCUCGUGUGUCUAGAGCCAAACUCCGGUCUUUCUCAUGGCCCUGAAAGACAUUUGAUUGAUGGAUGGCCCGCAUCAACAACCGCAAGUAUUCUCUAGUGACGAGAUGACGAUGCAGGCAGAUGAACAGGAGAUCCAGGACAAAGACAAAGAGGAAAAGGAGAACCAGGACAAAGACAAAGGGGAACUAAAUACAGCAGACUUGGAUACAAGAUCGGGUACAGCAGAUGAAGCAUCUGAUAUAAUUUAUACCAAACAGCUGCGGAAAGGACCACCCAGCGCAGAUUUCACUGUUUCAAGUGACGUAAAUAAGAAAUUACUCAAACUGACAACAUGGAAACUAAAAAAGGAAACUGAAAAAAAGCCAAGGUUUCAUCUUGCAUCAGCUAAUGUUGAUCUAGUCGAGACCAUCAACAUAAUUGACACAUUUGACAGACCAGGAGCUGCCAGUGCAGAAGGCACCUAUGCUGGAAGUGGUACAUAUGCAGUAGCUUUUGAAGGCGAACCAGGAAAGAGAAUUCCCAAGGCUGGAGCGUAUGCAGAAGCAGGAGUUGGACGAGCUUCUGCUGAAUUCAGCGUUUUUGAGGCAGAAGCCAAAGGCCCCAACGUCUCAGCUGGUGCUGAAGCCAACAUGGUUGGAGCCGGAGCAAUGGCUCGGGCUGAAGUCGCCAGCGCAUCAGCUAAAGCCGGUCCAGUUGGUGUGAAAGUGGGACUUGGAUUAGACACAGGUGCAACUGUUGGUCCAACCGGAGCAGAGGUUAAAGUCCUGGGAACUGGAUUCUCAGUUGGUCUAAAAAACAGUAUAUCUCUUCUGGGCUCAGAAGUGUCAUGUUCAGUCAUGUAGUCAUAUAGGUAUUACCUUUAAUAUUUAUAUGUAUCAUCUUAAAUCAUGAAGACAAAAAACAAAUGCUGAAUACCUGACAAUAUUCAAGAAACAGCUGAACGUAAUAAAUAAAUAAAAAAAAUCUUCCUA
This is an RNA transcript of Ctenopharyngodon idella (grass carp), 3654 nucleotides long. RefSeq lists it as uncharacterized. The transcript has 9 exons. The record is from RefSeq and is a predicted model, not a curated record. Lineage: Eukaryota; Metazoa; Chordata; Actinopteri; Cypriniformes; Xenocyprididae.